UUGAGCUAGGAAUCCUAUGGAAGCGGCUGGUAAAGAUGCACUCUUUCUUGAGGGGUACGAGCAGAGGCGAUACCACUUUGUGUCAGCAUGCACCCUGCAGUCCUGGUCUCUGGAGCUGUGCAAGGUGUGUGCUCAGCACCACUGUGGGCACACGGAGGGGCUCAGGGUCAGACGGUCUCACCACUGAUCGUGCAUAAUCAUUUGUGCCAAAGAUUAGGAAUGAUAACUGUCUCAUUUGCACAUGGAAAGACACGGAGGUGGAUACUUGCACACAAAUAAGUAGCUGGUGAUGGUGCUGGUUACAAGUGAUCAUGUACUGAAGACUGCUGCCAGAAAAUUCAGAGCUCUUUUUGGAAAAGGUGACUCGAAGCACAGGGAUGGAAGAACAAUGGUGUGCACCAGCAGUUAAGAACAACAGCUUCUGCUCCCUUGUACUCCGUACAAAACAGCAGCAUCAGCCCCGCAGCCUGUCUACAUGCCGAAGGUCCGUGCCUGCUCCUGAGAGUUACCUGAUGAAUAACUCCAUUUUCCAGCUGCUCAGUGAACAGCUCUCCACCUCCAUCGCUCUUCUUGAUUCUCCAAGGCAGGCUCCAGAAUAAAGUGAUCUCCUCCUAAGUGUCCGUUCCUCACCUUUCCGCAUGGCAGUUACCUGUGGGCUGACUCCUGAUGUUCCUUCUUGGGGCCAAAGCUGGGGACCAGCCUGUGCAGCGAGGCACCUAUCCUGCAGCUUGGGGUGGCGGCUGGGUAGCGGCGUGCUCUGCAGACUACUGCAAUGCCCCAACCUUACCCUGCGAGGCAUGCAGAUAGCCAAGACACCCACGAUGAAGUCGCCAGAGCCCUGGGAAGGCAUCAGAGCCCACCAUCGCUGUGACCAUCAAUAAACCUUCAUGAAUUAACCUGUUGAGAGGAGGGAAGGGAGAAUCUUACAUUGCAGCUGUAAGAUUAAAUGCUGCUGUUGAACCCUGGACAAUUUCCUGCCACUAAUCUUUUGGUCUGACUAAUAUAGCUAGAUAUAUUACUCAAACCUUUCAGUGAUGGAAAUCAUACCUGGAUCUGGUAAGCAGAGAGAAACCAGCUGGCAUCCUCUCCUGGUCACAGAAGAAGCGUGGAGAAGCCGUGUCAUUGCCCUGGGUCUGGCUGGCUUAGAGAUGGUGCUUUCAGCUACAGGCUGUGAGCCUUGAUCUCUUGCUGCACCAGUGUUUCCAUCCUCCAAGAGCAGACCUAUAUCCAUGGAUAUGUGGCUGGGGAGAGUGCAGCCGGCCUGCAGUGGCUAAACCUUUUAAUUCUACCUGGGGGAAUCUGAUUGAGCAAGGGAAAGGCAUAAGUCAUCCACGCCUGCUUCAGGGUGGCAGCUGCACUGGAGGGCUAUCUCACAAGGCGACCAACUCUGAAGAUGGGGGAAGUCCCGAGCCAGGAGAAGGUGUGCCGAGGAAGACAUGGUGGUUAAAGCACAAACGUUUCACUCAUACCUUAACUGGUGCUAUGUCCUGAAAUAGGAGGGCUGCAGUUUCCCAGUGCAGCGAUGACCUGACCCCGGGGAUGCUCUUGGUGGCAGGGCACCAGAGCUCGCACAGCACCCGGCGCUGAGCAGCAAGCAGAGCUGCCUCGCGACAUCACCGCUGCCAUGCUCUUCUGGGGAGCGCUGCGAAGACAAAGCUGGAGAGCACUCUGUCCUUGCUUAUGGGCUUCAAACUGCACCAUUAGGAACAAAGUACUAUGUCCUCAGUAACUACCCAUUUAGAUGUGCACAAAGUGGAGCAGCCAUCUACUAGGACUGUGUCUUGGAUUUUGCAGCCAGCAAGCAUUCAUAUGCGGGGCACAAGCUGCAGGUCCCCCUCCAGGGCAGGACACGUGUGCUGUCAGUGACCAUUGCUGCGGUCAGGAGCCAGGCCUGCCUACAGAGAGCCGGUCAUUUAAACAAGCGUCACUAGGUCCCGGGGGACCGCUGGAAAUGUGGGCUGUCCUUUUCCUGGCCACCCCAGAGAAGAUGAGGACUGGGACGUGUGCUGUGAUGCUGAAUGGAUGAGUUAACCUUGUGAAAAACGAUACGCUGACAGCCCAGUCAGAAGUGACGCUGACUUCAGGGAACUGUUGCUACUUUCUGUCAUGCCUUCAUUGCUUGCAAGGAGACAAAAGAUGCAAAUAGGACUACACACAAACCACAGAGGAACACAUUAAUAAUCCUACCACCACUCAGCACUGGUAAGAGCAUUUCCUCUUUAAGGCUACCGCAUCAUUUCUCCUAUGCUAUGAAGUAAUGAUCACAUACUUUUGUUGCAAAUCCACAUCCAAAUCCACACAUAUGUGGGCAUGCACAUUUGAGUGUGCCUCAAUACUGUGUGUAGUGGAUUUUCUCCUGAACUGAAAGCAAAGAAGCCUAGUAAUAUCUAAAUCAGAAUCAUUUACUGGCCCCAUUUCUUUCAGUAUGUUAAACUGCACUCCCAAAACUAGUCAUUGGAUUUAGACAGCAUUAAAUACUGAUAAAAAUACAAUGAAAACAUUUCUUCCGAAGUACCUAAAAACUUAGCAGAGGAUCUAAACUAUUAUAGUGGAAGAACAUCAUAAAAUCUGUGGAAUUCAAAAUGCAUAGAAAUUAAGGUCCGGAUUCAAUUUUCUCAGAUUUUCUUUCUUUAGGAGGAACAAAGAUCUUGACCUUUAUUCUUCAAAAAAAUGCACGCUACUGAAAUCAACAGACCUGUCCCUAUCUUUCAAAGGAGGUCAUCUAUAAAUGACACAGUAUAUUAAUGGAAGCUUUUUAAAUAAUUAAAAGUCCAAAGACCAUGUAAGAAAAAAUGAAAUGAAGCUAUAAGAAGCAAGCUGGAAAGGUUACCACCAACAAUAUCAACAAAAAAGCUGUAAGCUAAACCAGAAUGGCAAUAAAAUAAAAUAAAAUAAAAUAAAAUAAAAUAAAAUAGCAAAAUAUUGGGCCAAACCUAGCUAUCCAAACUCAGCAUGAACUGUUUACACUGUUAGUUUGCUAGAAUGGAAAGUGUGCUUUGUCCUUCCAAAGGAGCCAAUGGAGCACAGCGACCAACAGGACAUGGUCAAGGGGAACACGGCCCAUACAGGAUGCAACAUCUCAGGCUUUCCCUUUGAGCCCUGCUCUCAUGGACAAAGGUUUCUCAACGCACUUCACAUGGCUACACAUAGUAACUGCAGUCAAAGCGGGACAUUCUGCCUGCACGUUGUUAAAUACUUCACUUAAGACCUGCUGCAGCUCUUGACAUGGAGGUUAAGUGCUAUGUAAAUGCCUCACUCCAGCAGUUAGGACUUUGCUGUCCUCAGAUCUUGUACUGAUAGAGCUCCCAAAUGCUUGCUCCCUUUGCUUGCAUGCUCUCUUCACUGCUGAGCUAUGGAUAUUGCUCCAAACCUCCUGAAGCAUCGGACACAAAGGACAGCUUUGUCAGCUCUGGCAAUGUUUUAUGAAGCUUGGUGUCCUUCUUAAAGCCCAGCUACAGGAAUUGAGAGAUUACAUCAGGGUCUCAGCCUCUCACUAUUAAAAACAAAUAUGUCAUUUCUGGCCCUCAGCAUGCUUGAAAAAUGCCUGAAAGCAAGUCUUGAAAUCAGCUUCAAAGCUCAUUAUCUGUAAGGCAAUGAAGGAACCAAAAAAAAAUUAUAAAAUAAUAAAAAAAAGCCAUGAUUUGGAGCCAAUCUUGUAAUUUUUGGUGCUUGGUUCAUGACUUUGAAUGUCUGAAGUGGGCAGUGUUAAGAGCAGACAGCAAAUGCCCAAGCAAACACAUGCUGCUUCCCUGUGGAUCGAAACAAACAAACAAUCUUGUUUGAUUAACUCUGCUGGAAAUAAUAUUUUAAAGGGUAAAAUGAUUCCACAAAGAUGACAUGUUAGCAUUUGAAAUGAGAUGAAUGCAGUGCCUGUAAAAGUGCAAUAAUCCUUAAUAACUAACCCAAAAGAAGCAUCAUCCCCAGAGAUAAGAAGGUAAUUCACUCUCCAUAUUUAAUUUGUUUCUAAGCUGCUUUUGAAACAAGAUUGCUAAACAGUAAGUUGGCUUGGGAUCUAGGCCUGACUGCUGGACUUUCUGUAAUCGUGCCAUUGACUCGGCAUACAUUUCAACUAAGUCACAGGAUGCAAAAUCAGGUGGGCUAAUUCCUUAAGCUGCUUAAGCAAAAAAUUGUGAAUAUGAGGUAAAUUUGGAGAUAGGAGUCUGUUUACGGCAAGCAACAGGUGGAAGAUAACGUGCUGUCUUCAAAGAGUGACUGCAACUUAUUCUUUGAACAGUCUUGUGACUAAAGAUCGCAUUUCAAGCCAUAUCUAUUUUUCAUAAAUUCAUGGCAAUCUAGGGUUUCAGUCUACAUUAAAGGAAACAGUGAUGACAGCACACUUAAUUAGACUGAAUAGUUACCGAAUCUCAUCAGCAAGAUCUUGCAAAGGGAAUGGAAAACU
This is a long non-coding RNA of Cygnus olor (mute swan), 4399 nucleotides long. RefSeq lists it as uncharacterized. The transcript has 13 exons. The record is from RefSeq and is a predicted model, not a curated record. Lineage: Eukaryota; Metazoa; Chordata; Aves; Anseriformes; Anatidae.